CAAUGGUUUCCCCAUGGAGGGGAAUUAAAAGGGAAUGCCGUGUGAAUCGGCAACAGUUCCCGCUGCUGUGAGUCCCGCCCGAAAGGGCAUUUUCGUCGCGACAAUCUGAGCCACUGGUCCUCCGGGACCGGGAAGGCGUUGCGCCGGGGGACAAGUCAGAAGACCUGCCUUGCGAGAU
Molecule: non-coding RNA, 178 nt
Filed under: uncultured Alistipes sp.
Lineage: Bacteria; Pseudomonadati; Bacteroidota; Bacteroidia; Bacteroidales; Rikenellaceae
Source: RNAcentral